This 253-nucleotide ribosomal RNA is filed under the name uncultured bacterium. Its description in RNAcentral is "partial 16S ribosomal RNA". It matches the Rfam family "Bacterial small subunit ribosomal RNA", at positions 524 to 776 of the family's 1533-position model. The record is from RNAcentral.
UACGUAGGGGGCGAGCGUUGUCCGGAAUCAUUGGGCGUAAAGAGCGUGUAGGUGGACUGGAAGGUCUGGUGUGAAAGCCCGGGGCUCAACCCCGGAGGGUCACUGGAAACCAACAGUCUUGAGUCCGGAAGAGGAGAGCGGAAUUCCUAGUGUAGCGGUGGAAUGCGCAGAUAUUAGGAGGAACACCAAUGGCGAAGGCAGCUCUCUGGUACGUGACUGACACUGAGACGCGAAAGCGUGGGGAGCGAACAGG